Molecule: long non-coding RNA, 2384 nt
Organism: Triticum urartu
Lineage: Eukaryota; Viridiplantae; Streptophyta; Magnoliopsida; Poales; Poaceae
Source: RefSeq, a predicted model, not a curated record
UUUAUCCCUCAAGAAAAUAUCAAAUACGGAAGAGAAAGAUUGAGAUGCUUCGGAGGCGGCGCACUGCUAUUGGCCAGUGGUUCACCGCUACAUGCCGGGACCGUUUGAUUUACUUAUCUCGAGUUCUCGACCCAGGAUGGGCUCGCCGUGUUUGCUAGCUCUGGGUACCGACUGCCGAGGGCGGAGGGACUGUGCCCUAGCGGUGCACGCUGGCUUCGGUUGUCAAGGGGCAGCGCGACGGCGUGCGGUACGCAUGCGCGCCUGGCCUGGUCGAUGACGGCUCCACGCACGGCGCUGGCUGCUCCAAAAGUGAAGCUCCGACGACGACACCCAGACCCAGAAGCCAGUCGACGUGUCCCACAUUAGCGGCACGGUCCAGGCCGGCGUGCCCGACGCCGGUGCCGUGAUGACGGUGCUCGUCUCAGUAGGCGUUGCUCUUCGGCGGUGCAGGUCAAUGACGGUGAACAAAGCGGAUACGGUGAGUCUUCUUGGGGUGAGGCCGUGCUCAGUCCCUGUGCAACCCCAGACCUUCACCCAUGCCGCCCCAUCUCCACUGGGCCGCCGUUGUUGCUGUUACCGCACAGGCCAACGCUAGUUCUCCAUUGCUCCACCUGAUUCUACACCGCCCACAAGGUGUUCGACAGAUUGUCUCACAUGUUUAUUUUCAAGUGUUAUGUCUUUCACUCUUUGCCGUAAACGCUGACUGAUGCAGCACCGUUGCUAAUUGCCUGUGCUCAAAAGUUAAAACACAAAUUGAGCGCCCCCCUCUUACCCGAGCUUCCAGCAGCAUCCUCUUCGUCAUGGUGUCAAUGAAGGUAAGCUUAAUAGUCCAUCCAUCGGAUCUUACGGACCACUGAAUUUUUUGCAUCUGAAGACUGAAGGUGUUCAUCACCUUGAGCAUUUACUUGUGUUCUCAUGUAUACCAUGUUCAACUGAGGCCAAUGGUUGAAAGAUAUUAUUUGAAAUGUUCCUUGGUUCGUCAGCAGGGCGCACACACUGUGUUUGACGACGACCCCGCUCCUGACCUGCUGUGCAUACCCUGCUUGUAAGAGAGGACCUUUUUAUGUCUAAUUAUUUUCCUGGGAGUUCCUAUGCUGGCAAAGUGGUGAGAUGCAUUCACAUUGGAAAAUUGUAUUGGUCAAAACUCAAAUUGAAGUAGCAGGCUCUGAUCCUCACUGCUUAGCUUUUCUAGAGAGGGUCAAAACUCAAAAGAUCUUUUGUUUUGGAACAUUUGUGUAUUUGGUGAAACCCUGGACAGAAGACCCAAUCCCGAGCUUCAUUUCCAGUUUAGCAGUGGCCGUGUGCGGGAAUGUUGCUUCUUUGAAAGGAUAUGGGCAGUAGAAGGUUAAGGAAAAUUUUGCUUUGGGAGAACGCAAAGAGAGAAAAGGGAUGCAAACAGAAGUCUGCUGGCCUGGUACAGUAUUUAACUUCUUGGUUGAUGUUGUUUGUCUAAACCAGCUUACAUGCAGGAUUACUUUUUUUUUUCUCUACUGAAGGAGUUAUAAUUAUACUCCGCGGUGUUGCUGCGUUUCAGUUUAAUAGCACCAUAUUCUGUCUUAGGAUUCAGUUCUGUACCUGUUACAUUUAGCAUUUCAACUUGACAACAAGCAUUGCCGAGACAAAGGCUUGAUAAAUAUUGGUUUCUGUGUUGCCAUUUGUUAGGAAUUUAAACAUGACUUACGGCCUAAUAAAGAAAAGAUGCAGGAAGCAGGAGGGAAGAUGACUUUCCCAGUCACACGAUCACUUGUAUUCACAAAAAUGCAGCUUGCCUAUUUGCUUCCUCAGUGUUGGGCAUGCUAUUUCAAUUAACUGAGUAUGGCAUUAUGUGAGCUCAGGUUUUUCUUUUGAAGCAACGAGCCACGUCGUCGAUUUCCAUUAGAGAAACCGACACAUAGACUUGUGCGCCUGAGAUUAGAUGGCUGGUAACCCGUCCAAUUUUGCUUCGGAUCCAGAAACCAGUAUGAAGGCACGACGGCUGUGCGGCCUCUGCCUCCCGGGAGCUCGUGGCAGCGGGGAGCCUCUACUUCCCACUUGGAAAGAGAGACAGGUGGCGUCUCGGAAUAGUAGACGCACAUUGGUUGAAAAAUGGAACCUUGAAUCGGACCAAACAGGAAGCAGAGAGGGAGAAGAGGAAGAAGCCGGAGGCGAAAGGGAUGGGUGGGCAGAGCCGCAGAGAGAGCAAUCCCCAAAAGCUACCCUCUUCUUUCUCCUCCACAGAACUCGAUUGCCAGGCAUCUUUACUCUGUGCUGCACCUCUUUUCUCCCGUGGACUUGGCCCAUGGACCAUGCUUGUGGCAAUUUUAUUCUCUUUUCUUUUUGAAUUACUGAUAUAGUAGCAGUUUUGAGAAUACGGAUCUCACGAGAAUAAUGUGCUCGAUUUUCUA